Long non-coding RNA from Culex quinquefasciatus (southern house mosquito), 941 nucleotides. RefSeq lists it as uncharacterized. Lineage: Eukaryota; Metazoa; Arthropoda; Insecta; Diptera; Culicidae. The record is from RefSeq and is a predicted model, not a curated record. The transcript is spliced from 2 exons.
CUAAUUAAAGACUAAACACUCCGAACAAAAUUUUUCAAAAAGUAUGACUCAUAAGCUGUGAACCGCGAGUACCACGUUGAACCACACAUCGGCUCGCCCCUCGUAUGACAGAACGACCUGGCAGCGCUGGGUUUUUCGAUUUCGUUUUGUGCUGAUUUACGCGCGCAUCUUGUUUGUUUUUGUUUUGCUUAGCGAUCAAGGCAGGCUGCAAAUGAGUCAAUCAGCUGUGCAGGGAUUUUUGUUUGGCGCAACGAGCGAAAUUGACUGGUGUUUGGUUUUUAAGAUGAUUGCUGUUUGUCAUCAUUCCUCGUAAGCGAAAUCUGUUCAAUACGAACACCACGAUCGUCCGCGACCUUGCCGCCGGAUGAUUUGAUCAUCUCGAAUCUAGACAACUCGAUGGUAACGAUUGCCUGCGACACUCUACCAAAGGCCGGAUUUUUGGAACCGAAGUGCGCGUUUGGCAUUUCCAUGCUGUACAUUGUCCGUCCCAACACGUUCAUCGGUGAGGGUGUCGACUUCGGCGGGUCAACAUUUCCGGUCAACAUUCCGGUCAUCAGAGGCCACUCCGGCCAGACCAUUAUCCCAGUGAGCUUCCCCAGGACAAGAUUGCCACCCUGGCGGUACGCAUUCAGGAGGUCCUCAAGACCAAGACCGGUGCCGGUGCGGACACUCUCACGACGGCCUACGCCGAAGCCCGUUUUGCCCUCGCUAUGGCCCAUGCCAUGAACGGCAAAAUGAACGUGAUUGAGUGCGCGUUCGUCCGCUCGUCACUUGCUUCUCCACGCUGCUGCUGCUGGGCAAGAACGUUCUCGAGAAGAACCUUGGUCUGCCCAAGGUGAACGCCUACGGACAGGAGCUACUGAAGAAGGACAUAUCGGAGCUGAAGAAAAACAUCCGGAAGGGCGAGGAAUUUGUCAAGAACUAUGUGAACAAAAAAAAAA